This 348-nucleotide ribosomal RNA is filed under the name uncultured bacterium. Its description in RNAcentral is "bacterial SSU rRNA". It matches the Rfam family "Bacterial small subunit ribosomal RNA", at positions 29 to 384 of the family's 1533-position model. The record is from RNAcentral.
AGCGAACGCUGGCGGCAGGCUUAACACAUGCAAGUCGAGCGGGCGUAGCAAUACGUCAGCGGCAGACAGGUGAGUAACGCGUGGGAACGUACCUUUUGGUUCGGAACAACACAGGGAACUUGUGCUAAUACCGGAUAAGCCCUUACGGGGAAAGAUUUAUCGCCGAAAGAUCGGCCCGCGUCUGAUUAGCUAGUUGGUGAGGUAACGGCUCACCAAGGCGACGAUCAGUAGCUGGUCUGAGAGGAUGAUCAGCCACAUUGGGACUGAGACACGGCCCAAACUCCUACGGGAGGCAGCAGUUGGAUACUGUACGAUAGGGAACCGGUAACCGAGUACCUACGACCGACU